Molecule: transfer RNA, 71 nt
Filed under: Marmota monax (woodchuck)
Lineage: Eukaryota; Metazoa; Chordata; Mammalia; Rodentia; Sciuridae
Description: tRNA.Ala
Rfam family: tRNA
About the family: Transfer RNA (tRNA) molecules are approximately 80 nucleotides in length. Their secondary structure includes four short double-helical elements and three loops (D, anti-codon, and T loops).
Source: RNAcentral
GGGGUUGUGGCUCAGUGGUAGAGUGUUUGCCUAGCAUGCAAGAGGUACUGGGUUCAAUUGUCAGCACCACA